UGAUUAUUAUCUGGAGGUGCAGCUUGCGUUGUUUCCCCCUAGUGGAAAGUACUUCAAUAGGUCAGAAAUACUUGGUUUGCCUGUUAAUUUACAGGAAUCAAUCAAGGAGGAAAUGCCUAAGAGAGUGGUAGGAGAUAUUUAACGUAUAUAAUUGAAAUUGUUAUUUUUCAUUCGUGAGCAAAUUAUUAGAUUUAAAUUGGUUGUGUCACUGUGAAGAUGAUGAAGUCUUCAUAAACAAAAUUCAUGAAUUCCAAAAUAAAAGAUAUAACAAAUGAGAAUGAUUCUUCUCAAGUAAGUCAUUUAAGCUAAUUAUAUUAUAUGUAGUUAUUAGUAUGUGCAUAUAAAAAAAGUUACAUUGACUUGAUUUUUUGGUACUUAUAGAUGGUGGAGGAGACAACAAGGAAGGGAAAGGGAAAGAGAAAAAGGGUGGAAGAAGAGUCCAAUAAGAAGAGUUUUGAAGAAGAUCUAUUCAUGAUGAUGUCGCAUUAAUCAAGUAAAGGCAUUGUGAUCGAUGACAAACGCAACAAGAGAAAUAGUAAUGAGGAGCAUCAAAAGAUAUAUAUUGGUGGUCUUUAUGGAAAAACCAAGAAGGACCUCAAACUCUUCUAUUAAUCUAAGUCUAGAAUCAUUUGUAAGUCUCACUUAACUCAACAGAUGGGUAAUGAUAUAUAUUUCAACAUAAACCUAAAAUCUCAUAUUUUUGCCUAUCAUGUACUGUGUAUAUCUUACUUCUUGCUUUUGCUUUUGAAUAUAAUGAAUGUUUAAUGUUUGGUAACAGAUAAAGGAUGAAGCAUCAUGGAUACUGAAGAAUUUAUCAUAUGAGAAAAGGUAAAAGGCAAUAUAUAUGUACAUAGUUGGGAUGAUAUAUAUAUAUAUGUAUAUAUCUAUAUAUGCGCAUAAACUUAAGUGUUUUUUUUUUAAAUAUAAUCAUGUUUGGUAAUAAAUAAAGAGAAAAGUAUCUGCAAAUGAAAAUUUUAUCAUACCAGAAAGAGAGAACAAUAAUCAAGAUAUGCCCAUAUUUAUAUAUAGUGUUAUAUAUAUAUAUACACAUAUUUAGGUACAAGAACUUAUAGGAGACACGAUUUAGGAUGUAAUUCAUAUCAAUCAAGUAUAAGAACCUAUUGUAAUAUAUAUGCACAUAUUUAUAUAUUACAUAGUUGAUGUUAUAUAUAUGUGUAUUAUUUACAUAUUUGUUGAUAAAAACUAGAGAUCGCAGAGGAUCCCCAAACCAAACCCACGAUACAUGGGUUAACCGUAGAUAAAGGACCGACCUUUUGUGCAUCUUUUACACGUGCUUCACUUCAGCACAUUUCGCACGUGCUUGCAACCAACUCCAACAAAAGAGGUUACCCAAAAUCUCGGCCAAGCUACUCUCCACUUUUAGAUUUUCAGUAUUUAUUUGAUUUUAUUGAUUUGCUUCAAUCUUUAGUUCUUAUCUUAAGUUGUAACUCUGUCUAUUUAAAGGCAGCACAAUUCAUUAAUAAAACAGCUCAUAAUUAUUCAAAUCUUCUGGUAUUUUCUCACAAAAACAGAAAAACCCUUACCCUUUCUUAAGCCUUACCCUUACCCUUACCCUUUUCAUGUCAGCUGAAUGGAGUUGGGCAUGACCGAUAAGUUGCACAUGAUCGAAGGAACUCUUCAGCGAUUGACCGAUGUGGUCGUGUCACUACAAGAAGGCUUCAACAGUAACCUGAUACCUCACCUCAACUUGCCACGCCCCGCUCGAGAUGAGAUCGUCAUUGACGACGUCGAGCGGACCCCCUUUUUCCACAAAUCACUCAAAUUGGAACUACCUACCUUUUAUAAAGGAGACUCGAUUGAGUUGCUGAGCCGAGUUGGCCAGUACUUCAACUUCUAAGGCACCGUCGCACCGCAUCAGGUGGCCUUGACAUCCUACCACCUGGAGGGAGAGGCUAACAUUUGGUGGCAAUGGAUGAGCCGCACCUACAAAGAAGAAAGAAGAGAGGUUUUGUGGACUUGGUUCAUGGACGAGUUAUGGGCCAGAUUUGGGUCGACUGAUUUUGAAGACCCGGACGAGGUCCUAACCUGCAUAAAACAGACAGGGCCUUUGCGUGACUACUAAAGGGACUUUGAGCGCUUAGGCAGUAGGGUCCACGGGUGGACACAACGGGUCUCAGUGGGAGCCUUCAUUGGUGGGCUCAAGCCCGAGAUAGCGAAUGACAUCUGAAUGUUUUGGCCUAGGAUGGUGAAGGGCACAAUUGGGUUGGCCUGAGUAAGAGAAGAAUAAAUGGGUUGACAAAAUAGGCUAACCUAGUCAGGGCGGACCCAACCUGUACAAACCCCUUUGACCUUACCCGAUCAGGCCCUGCGUGCCUUAGUUUCUUCCACAGCUGCUCUCAGAUGCCUCUUUUGGGAAGAGGUGCAGCGCCGACGAACCCAGGGACUGUGCUUCAACUUUAACGAGCGUUUCACAGUGGGCCAUUGGUGCUGAAAGCCCCAACUCCUCUUGCUCGAUGGUGGGCAAGCUGAAGAAGAAUAAGAAGCUGAACCCCACGAGCCUGAUAUAUCCUUGCACGCCCUAACGGGCUGAGCCACCGCUCGCACCAUGAGAGUCGCGACCAUGAUCCGAUAAUAACAAGUGAUCAUGCUCAUUGCUAGCGGGUCCACGCACAACUUUAUUAAUAAAAAGGUGGCCAGUCGACUUUGGCUUCCUGUCAUUCCCACAAAGCCAUUCUCUGUCAAGGUGGCGAACGGUCAUCCCAUGCGGUGCCAAGGACGAUUCAAUGAUAUCCCAAUAGAAGUCCAAGGUAUCCCUUUUUCCCUCACUUUUGUUUCCUUACCACUGACAGGUCUCAAUGUGGAUUUGGAAGUGAAGUGACUAGAAUCGCUCGAACCCGUGGCCUGCGACUGGAAGAGGAUGACCAUGGACUUCUAGUGGCUCAACCAACGGUGCCAGUUGCGCGACCUGGACGCAUUGCCCAUCUGGCCAGUGACACAGAGGGAGAUUGACGGGAGGCUGCAAGUAAACACUCUAUAUGUUAUUUGCUUGCUGCUUAGAGCUAAGGGCGACACCAGGACCGCACAACGGGAGAUACAGCAGCUCUUCGCCGAUUUUUUGGAGCUCUUCUUUGACCUUGAUCAGCUGUCACCAGCCAAGGAGGUGGACCACCAGAUCUGCCUAAAGGAGGGGACCGAGCCGAUAAAUGUCUGGCCAUACUGAUACGCAUACUUUCAAAAAGCUGAUAUUGAAAAAUAGGUAAAAGAGAUGCUUUAAUACGACCUCAUUCGGGCCAGCACCUGAUGCUUUUGUAUCGACUAACGGGCCCUCAACGCGGUCACCAUCAAAGACCAAUUUUCCAUUCCCACUAUAAAUGACAUGUUGGACGAGUUACAUGGGCAGUUUAUUUCACAAAGCUAGACUUGAUCGUAGGGUACCACCAGAUCCGAGUACACCCCCAGAUGUCCACAAAAUAGCCUUCCGGACACAUAAGGACCAUUAGGAAUAUCUAAUAAUGCUUUUUUAUUUUUGCAAUGUAACUUCUACGUUCCAAGCAGUUAUGAACUUAAUUUUUUAUCCUUAUCUACGUAAGUUUGUAUUGGUAUUUUUUUAUGACAUAUUAAUCUACAAUCUAGAUUGGCACUUUCACCAAACCCAUAUUACACAAGUGUUUGAGAUAUUGAAGUUGCACAAGUUCUUUAUCAAGCGUAAAAAUUGGGCAGCAAAAACUGGAAUAUCUU
This 3699-nucleotide long non-coding RNA is filed under the name Carica papaya (papaya). Its description in RNAcentral is "long non-coding RNA (CPAP_LNC010666)". The record is from RNAcentral. Lineage: Eukaryota; Viridiplantae; Streptophyta; Magnoliopsida; Brassicales; Caricaceae.